RNAcentral lists this long non-coding RNA (511 nucleotides) under Laticauda laticaudata (blue-ringed sea krait). RNAcentral describes it as "lncRNA (ENSLLTG00000015731.1)". Lineage: Eukaryota; Metazoa; Chordata; Lepidosauria; Squamata; Elapidae. The record is from RNAcentral.
UAUAACUAAAUAUUUCAAAUUCUCUUUCUUUAGAAAGAAAUCGAAUGCCGUCUGCAAAAACUGAAGGAAGAACUAGAGAAACUUCUACGACUAAAGCUGGCUGGAGAGGUUAGACAUCAGGAAUCUCUGAAUCAAACAGACACUGAAAGACAAAAAGUGGUGAUGGAAUUUGAGCAAAUGCAUCACUUUUUGGAUGAACAAGAGAAGCUUCUGCUGGCUCAGCUGAAGGAGAUGGAAAGGGAGAUUGUCAAGCAUCAGAAAAUAUAUGACACAAAGGUUUCUGAUGAAAUUGUUGCUCUUACUAUCCUGAUUGAUGAAAUAGAAGAGAAGCUCGAGCAGCCAGACAGUGAAUUCCUUCAGGAUAUCAGAAGCACAUUGUGCAGGUUUGAUAAGGAGCCCUUCCAAGUUCCUGAGGGGAUGCCAGUCAAGAUGGAAAAGAGACUAGAAGAGUUCUCGGAGAAAAAUACGGUGCUUGCAGAAAUGCUGAAGAAUCUCAAAGGUACAAAAAAAA